Molecule: ribosomal RNA, 253 nt
Filed under: uncultured bacterium
Lineage: Bacteria
Description: partial 16S ribosomal RNA
Rfam family: Bacterial small subunit ribosomal RNA
Source: RNAcentral
UACGUAGGGUGCGAGCGUUAAUCGGAAUUACUGGGCGUAAAGCGUGCGCAGGCGGUUUUGUAAGACAGGCGUGAAAUCCCCGGGCUCAACCUGGGAAUUGCGCUUGUGACUGCAAGGCUGGAGUGCGGCAGAGGGGGAUGGAAUUCCGCGUGUAGCAGUGAAAUGCGUAGAUAUGCGGAGGAACACCAAUGGCGAAGGCAAUCCCCUGGGCCUGUACUGACGCUCAUGCACGAAAGCGUGGGGAGCAAACAGG